RNAcentral lists this ribosomal RNA (749 nucleotides) under uncultured bacterium. Its description in RNAcentral is "partial 16S ribosomal RNA". It matches the Rfam family "Bacterial small subunit ribosomal RNA", at positions 56 to 797 of the family's 1533-position model. The record is from RNAcentral.
UGCAGUCGACGGCAGCACGGGUACUUGUACCUGGUGGCGAGUGGCGAACGGGUGAGUAAUGCACCGGAACGUAUCCAUAAUGGGGGAUAACGCACCGAAAGGKGUGCUAAUACCGCAUACGCCCYKRRGGGGGAAAGCGGGGGAYUCRAAARRAMCCCSSSKUWAWKGRRSSGSCSRAUGUCGGAWUAKCUWKKKGGKGGGGUAARGGCKCACCARGGCGACSAUCCGUAGCUGGUCUGAGAGGACGACCAGCCACACUGGAACUGARACACGGUCCAGACUCCUACGGGAGGCAGCAGUGGGGAAUUUUGGACAAUGGGCGAAAGCCUGAUCCAGCCAUGCCGCGUGAGUGAAGAAGGCCUUCGGGUUGUAAAGCUCUUUCGCAAGGGAAGAAAACUUAGUUAAUAACACUAGCUGAGGAUGACGGUACCUUGAUAAGAAGCACCGGCUAACUACGUGUCAGCAGCCGCGGUAAUACGUAGGGUGCGAGCGUUAAUCGGAAUUACUGGGCGUAAAGCGUGCGCAGGCGGUUUUGUAAGUCUGAUGUGAAAUCCCCGGGCUCAACCUGGGAACUGCGUUGGAAACUACAAGGCUAGAGUGUAGAAGAGGGGGGUAGAAUUCCACGUGUAGCAGUGAAAUGCGUAGAGAUGUGGAGGAAUACCGAUGGCGAAGGCAGCCCCCUGGGCUAACACUGACGCUCAUGCACGAAAGCGUGGGGAGCGAACAGGAUUAGAUACCCUGGUAGUCCA